This 253-nucleotide ribosomal RNA is filed under the name uncultured bacterium. RNAcentral's name for it is "partial 16S ribosomal RNA". It matches the Rfam family "Bacterial small subunit ribosomal RNA", at positions 524 to 776 of the family's 1533-position model. The record is from RNAcentral.
UACAGAGGGGGCAAGCGUUGUUCGGAAUUACUGGGCGUAAAGGGCGCGUAGGCGGCCUGCUAAGUCGAACGUGAAAUCCCUGGGCUCAACCCAGGAACUGCGUCCGAUACUGGUUGGCUUGAAUCCGGGAGAGGGAUGUGGAAUUCCAGGUGUAGCGGUGAAAUGCGUAGAUAUCUGGAGGAACACCGGUGGCGAAGGUGACAUCCUGGACCGGUAUUGACGCUGAGGCGCGAAAGCCAGGGGAGCAAACGGG